AAAAACAUGUCUUUUUGAAAAUAAUAAAAAGUCUAAUCUGCCCACUGAAUUUAUUUAAAGGGCUGCAGUAUAUUGACUGUACAAAGGUAGCAUAAUCAAUAGUCUUUUAAUUGAAGACUUGUAUGAAUGAUUUGAUGAAAUAUGAACUGUCUCUUUUUUAAAAAUAAAAUUUAAUUUUUUAGUUAAAAAGCUAAAAUAAUUAUAAAAGACGAGAAGACCCUAUAGAGUUUUAUAGUUAUUUAAUUUAAAAAUUUUAUAUAUAAUUUAAAUUUAAAAUUAAUUAAUUAUUUUAUUGGGGUGAUAGAAAAAUUAAAAAAACUUUUUUUUAAAAUUUAACAUUAAUUUAUGAAAUUAUGAUCCAUAAUUUAUGAUUAAAAGAAUCAAUUACCUUAGGGAUAACAGCGUAAUUUUUUUUUUUAGUACAAAUAAGAAAAAGAGUUUGCGACCUCGAUGUUGGAUUAAGAUAAAAUUUAAAUGCAAAAGUUUAAAAUUUUUGAUCUGUUCGAUCAUUAAAAUCUUACAUGAUCUGA
The sequence is a ribosomal RNA, 530 nucleotides long. The stretch from base 395 to 530 matches the Rfam family "Bacterial large subunit ribosomal RNA", at positions 2473 to 2608 of the family's 2925-position model.